This 679-nucleotide long non-coding RNA is filed under the name Mus musculus (house mouse). Its description in RNAcentral is "cDNA sequence BC006965". Lineage: Eukaryota; Metazoa; Chordata; Mammalia; Rodentia; Muridae. The record is from RNAcentral.
AUUCAAUGUCUGGAGCACGCGUCGGCCACUCCACCUCGGGCGCUCUGAAGCCGGCCGCAUGGAGACUGGGGGACGGUGGUAGGAUGGUCCUAGACCCCUUCCCUCUGUUUCUGCAACCUUGGUGAAUUGAAAAGGGAUCAAUAUCCUUUAUCAGCUCUACCAUACCAGAUGGCCAAGGGACAGUGGAAAAAUGGCAGGGCAGACCCCCUUGGAUUUGCCCACGUGGAGUUUGGAUAUUUACCUGGCUUCUUUGUCAAGUCUUGGGCCUGAUGCAGGUUGCAGACGUAUGGCCACCGGUUCAUGUAGUCAACAGGUCAGGGGGGCUGUUGCCACCGAAGGAAGGGGGAUAGUGCUGACAAGACUGAUGGUAAUGAUGACAUCUAACGUACAUGGAGCAGCUCUAUCUGCCAGACACUAAGAGGAGAAUGAAGAGAAGGAGGCAGGAUGUGUCAAUGUCCGAUGGACCACCUUACCAUCUGGGGAAGAGGGAUGCCUCUAGUGAGAUGAGAAGGGGAAGAGCAAAAUCCCAAGUCCAAAGGACAUUGUGGAGGAAGGGAUUCUACUGGAGAGGCUCCACGUGGCUCAUCCCUUACAAGGAGAAUUGUGUUGCUGCAGAUGGCGAGCUGGCUCAGUGGGGGAAGAUGCUAGCCAUCAAGCCCCAUGACCUCAGUUUGAUUCC